RNAcentral lists this transfer RNA (73 nucleotides) under Ictidomys tridecemlineatus (thirteen-lined ground squirrel). RNAcentral's name for it is "Spermophilus tridecemlineatus (thirteen-lined ground squirrel) tRNA". It matches the Rfam family "tRNA". From Rfam's summary of the family: Transfer RNA (tRNA) molecules are approximately 80 nucleotides in length. Their secondary structure includes four short double-helical elements and three loops (D, anti-codon, and T loops). Further hydrogen bonds mediate the characteristic L-shaped molecular structure. tRNAs have two regions of fundamental functional importance: the anti-codon, which is responsible for specific mRNA codon recognition, and the 3' end, to which the tRNAs corresponding amino acid is attached (by aminoacyl-tRNA synthetases). tRNAs cope with the degeneracy of the genetic code in two manners: having more than one tRNA (with a specific anti-codon) for a particular amino acid; and 'wobble' base-pairing, i.e. permitting non-standard base-pairing at the 3rd anti-codon position. The record is from Rfam by way of RNAcentral. Lineage: Eukaryota; Metazoa; Chordata; Mammalia; Rodentia; Sciuridae.
GGGGAUAUAACUCAGUUGGUAGAGUGACUGCCUUGCAUGCACAAGGCCCUGGGUUCAAUCCUCAGCACCACCA